Long non-coding RNA from Symphalangus syndactylus (siamang), 276 nucleotides. RefSeq lists it as uncharacterized. Lineage: Eukaryota; Metazoa; Chordata; Mammalia; Primates; Hylobatidae. The record is from RefSeq and is a predicted model, not a curated record.
AAAAUCCCUCUGCAAGCAAAGUAAACUCACAUCCUGGCUUUGAUUGAGAAUUAGACCAACAGAAGGCACACUGUGCAGCACUAGCUUCCCACAGCAAGGAUGGAUCCUAAGUAACCUCAGAGGCCACAUGCUGAACAUGGCCUAUCCACAGUGUGGAAGAAGCCUUGGAUCCUGAGCCACUGUUCUGACAACCAACUGAUUUACAGAAGAGAGCUACAUAAGUAGGAUUUUUCAUUAUGUUCAACAUUUGGAAAUUUCAACUAAAGAUAAUUGCAG